RNAcentral lists this ribosomal RNA (468 nucleotides) under uncultured bacterium. RNAcentral describes it as "partial 16S ribosomal RNA". It matches the Rfam family "Bacterial small subunit ribosomal RNA", at positions 28 to 507 of the family's 1533-position model. The record is from RNAcentral.
GACGAACGCUGGCGGCGUGCUUAACACAUGCAAGUCGAACGGAAAGGCCCUGCUUUUGUGGGGUGCUCGAGUGGCGAACGGGUGAGUAACACGUGAGUAACCUGCCCUUGACUUUGGGAUAACUUCAGGAAACUGGGGCUAAUACCGGAUAGGAGCUCCUGCUGCAUGGUGGGGGUUGGAAAGUUUCGGCGGUUGGGGAUGGACUCGCGGCUUAUCAGCUUGUUGGUGGGGUAGUGGCUUACCAAGGCUUUGACGGGUAGCCGGCCUGAGAGGGUGACCGGCCACAUUGGGAAUGAGAAAGGGCGGAGGCUGCGACGGGAGGCAGAAGUGGGGAAUAUGGCGGAAGGGGCGGAAGCGUGAUGCAGAAGAGGGGCGUGGGGGAGGAAGGGCUUCGGGUUGGGGACGGAGUUCGCCAGUGACGAAGCGUGAGUGACGGUAAUGGGUAAAGAAGCACCGGCUAACUACGUG